GACGAACGCUGGCGGCGUGCUUAACACAUGCAAGUCGAACGGAAAGGCCCUGCUUUUGUGGGGUGCUCGAGUGGCGAACGGGUGAGUAACACGUGAGUAACCUGCCCUUGACUUUGGGAUUACUUCAGGAAACUGGGGCUAAUACCGGAUAGGAGCUCCUGCUGCAUGGUGGGGGUGGAAAGUUUCGGCGGUUGGGGAUGGACUCGCGGCUUAUCAGCUUGUUGGGGGGGUAGUGGCAUACCAAGGCAUUGACGGGUAGCCGACCUGAGAGGGUGACCGGCCACAAUGGGACUGAGAUACGGACCAGACUCCUACGGGAGGCAGCAGUGGGGAAUAUUGCACAAUGGGCGGAAGCCUGAUGCAGCAGCGCCGCGUGCGGGAUGACGGCCUUCGGGUUGUAAACCGCUUUCGCCUGUGACGAAGCGUGAGUGACGGUAAUGGGUAAAGAAGCACCGGCUAACUACGUG
RNAcentral lists this ribosomal RNA (467 nucleotides) under uncultured bacterium. Its description in RNAcentral is "partial 16S ribosomal RNA". It matches the Rfam family "Bacterial small subunit ribosomal RNA", at positions 28 to 507 of the family's 1533-position model. The record is from RNAcentral.